This 387-nucleotide ribosomal RNA is filed under the name uncultured bacterium. RNAcentral describes it as "bacterial SSU rRNA". It matches the Rfam family "Bacterial small subunit ribosomal RNA", at positions 30 to 425 of the family's 1533-position model. The record is from RNAcentral.
AUUGAACGCUGGCGGCAGGCCUAACACAUGCAAGUCGAGCGGGGGUAGCAAUACCCUAGCGGCGAACGGGUGAGGAAUGCUUGGGAAUCUGCCUGGUAGUGGGGGGAUAACGUUCCGAAAGGAACGCUAAUACCGCAUACGUCCUACGGGAGAAAGGGGGGGAUCUUCGGACCUCUCGCUAUCAGAUGAGCCCAAGCCGGAUUAGCUAGUUGGUGGGGUAAAGGCCCACCAAGGCGACGAUCCGUAGCUGGUCUGAGAGGAUGAUCAGCCACACUGGAACUGAGACACGGUCCAGACUCCUACGGGAGGCAGCAGUGGGGAAUAUUGGACAAUGGGGCGAAAGCCUGAUCCAGCCAUGCCGCGUGUGUGAAGAAGGCCUUCGGGUUG